Molecule: ribosomal RNA, 253 nt
Filed under: uncultured bacterium
Lineage: Bacteria
Description: partial 16S ribosomal RNA
Rfam family: Archaeal small subunit ribosomal RNA
Source: RNAcentral
UACCAGCACCCCGAGUGGUCGGGACGUUUAUUGGGCCUAAAGCCUCCGUAGCCGGUUCUACGAGUCUUCCGUUAAAUCCAACUGCUUAACAGGUGGGCUGCGGAAGAUACUAUAGAGCUAGGAGGCGGGAGAGGCAAGCGGUACUCGAUGGGUAGGGGUAAAAUCCGUUGAUCCAUUGAAGACCACCAGUGGCGAAGGCGGCUUGCCAGAACGCGCUCGACGGUGAGGGAUGAAAGCUGGGGGAUCAAACCGG